RNAcentral lists this ribosomal RNA (473 nucleotides) under uncultured bacterium. Its description in RNAcentral is "bacterial SSU rRNA". It matches the Rfam family "Bacterial small subunit ribosomal RNA", at positions 15 to 507 of the family's 1533-position model. The record is from RNAcentral.
GAUCCUGGCUCAGAUUGAACGCUGGCGGCAUGCCUUACACAUGCAAGUCGAACGGCAGCACGGGUGCUUGCACCUGGUGGCGAGUGGCGAACGGGUGAGUAAUAUAUCGGAACGUACCUUAUCGUGGGGGAUAACGCAGCGAAAGCUGCGCUAAUACCGCAUACGCCCUGAGGGGGAAANCGGGGGACCUAAGGCCUCGCGCGAUUAGAGCGGCCGAUAUCUGAUUAGCUUGUUGGUGGGGUAAAAGCCCACCAAGGCGACGAUCAGUAGCUGGUCUGAGAGGACGAUCAGCCACACUGGGACUGAGACACGGCCCAGACUCCUACGGGAGGCAGCAGUGGGGAAUUUUGGACAAUGGGCGAAAGCCUGAUCCAGCCAUGCCGCGUGAGUGAAGAAGGCCUUCGGGUUGUAAAGCUCUUUUACCAGGGAUGAUAAUGACAGUACCUGGAGAAUAAGCUCCGGCUAACUCCGUG